RNAcentral lists this microRNA (25 nucleotides) under Pristionchus pacificus. Its description in RNAcentral is "ppc-miR-71a". Its record names the gene ppc-miR-71a. The record is from miRBase by way of RNAcentral. Lineage: Eukaryota; Metazoa; Nematoda; Chromadorea; Rhabditida; Neodiplogasteridae.
UGAAAGACCUGUUGGUAGUGAGACG